UCAGGUGUUUGACAAGCGAUUAAGUCCCUAGAAUUUCAAUCUAGUAACACGGGUUUGAAUCCCGUACACCUGAU
Molecule: transfer RNA, 74 nt
Filed under: compost metagenome
Description: tRNA-Glu
Rfam family: tRNA
About the family: Transfer RNA (tRNA) molecules are approximately 80 nucleotides in length.
Source: RNAcentral